RNAcentral lists this transfer RNA (82 nucleotides) under Dactylella tenuis. RNAcentral describes it as "tRNA-Leu". Lineage: Eukaryota; Fungi; Ascomycota; Orbiliomycetes; Orbiliales; Orbiliaceae. The record is from RNAcentral.
ACCUAAGUGCUGAAAUUGGUAUACAGGGGAAACUUAAGAUUUCCUGAGAAAACUCAUGAGUGUUCAAGUCACUCCUUAGGUA